This 86-nucleotide transfer RNA is filed under the name Felis catus (domestic cat). It matches the Rfam family "tRNA". Rfam says of the family: Transfer RNA (tRNA) molecules are approximately 80 nucleotides in length. RNAcentral also lists the same sequence under 4 other names. Lineage: Eukaryota; Metazoa; Chordata; Mammalia; Carnivora; Felidae. The record is from Rfam by way of RNAcentral.
ACCUGGGUGGCUCAGUCGGUUGAGCGUCUGACUUCAGCUCAGGUCAUGAUCUCACCGCUCCGUGAGUUCAAGCCCCACAUGGGGUU